Molecule: non-coding RNA, 601 nt
Organism: Cyanistes caeruleus (blue tit)
Lineage: Eukaryota; Metazoa; Chordata; Aves; Passeriformes; Paridae
Source: RefSeq, a predicted model, not a curated record
UUUGCUGCAGAUUUUUUUUGUUUUCCUUUAUAUUCACAAGGUUUCUGUGAAGAGAGGGAUGUUUCUUAAAUCGCCAGGCAAGAAGUGCGUCACAGAUAAAGGACUAACUUUGUGAACAUACUCCUGGGGUAGUAAGGACAAAAAUGAACAAUUCUUAUGUAAUUAGUCACCAGACACAAGUGUUCUAGGAUAAGAUCUUCUGAAGUACCAUAGCAGAAAUAUAAAUGGAAUACUUAGAGUUGCUGUUGUCGGCUAUUAAAAAUAUGCAUAUUCUGCUGUCUCCCUAGGGAGAAUGAACGAUACUUCUGGCUUCAAGGUCAGCUGUGUCAGGAACCAUCUGAAAAUUAGUGUGUGGCUCAGAUCUCAGGUGGGUCAUUUUGAUAUAUUUGAUCUGGAUGACUCUGAGGCAGCAUGAGAACUGAUGAUGAAAUGAGAGGAGUAUUUACCUCGGUCUGAGGCAAAGAGGGGGAGGAAGGUGGUGAGUGGGCCUGCCUCUUGGCACACUCCAUACUUAGGGUAGCUUAAGCCAAUAAUGAAACAGCACCUAAGGGUCUGCUUGCUAAACUUGGAGGUAAAAUGUGUUUCUGGUAUUAGGGAAGAC